GAUGAAGAACGUAGCGAAAUGCGAUACGUAAUGUGAAUUGCAGAAUUCAGUGAAUCAUCGAAUCUUUGAACGCAUAUUGCGCUCUUUGGUAUUCCGAAGAGCAUGCUUGUUUGAGUAUCAGUAAACACCUCAACCUCUUCUUGAUUUUUCAAAAGGAGGGUGAACUUGAGCUAUCCCAACAACCUUUACCGGUCGGCGGGCGGCUUGAAAUGCAGGUGCAGCUGGACUUUUAUCUGAGCUAAAAGCAUAUCUAUUUAGUCCUCGUCAAACAGGAUUAUUACUUUUGCUGCAGCUAACAUAAAGGAUAAUUGUCCUCUUUGCUGACUGAUGCAGGAUUUUACGACACUUUAUGUGUUGUUCAACUCGAUCUCAAAUCAAGUAAGACUACCCGCUGAACUUAAGCAUAUCAAUAAGCGGAGGA
RNAcentral lists this unclassified non-coding RNA (421 nucleotides) under soil metagenome. Its description in RNAcentral is "partial contains 5.8S ribosomal RNA, internal transcribed spacer 2, and large subunit ribosomal RNA". The stretch from base 1 to 120 matches the Rfam family "5.8S ribosomal RNA", at positions 35 to 154 of the family's 154-position model. The record is from RNAcentral.